GAAGCAAAUAAGUUCAAGAAAUAUCAGUACAGAAUGGUACGACUGGUUACAAGAUGGAGACAUUUUAGUUUGACAGAAAGGAUUGCUUUU
Molecule: long non-coding RNA, 90 nt
Organism: Dipodomys spectabilis (banner-tailed kangaroo rat)
Lineage: Eukaryota; Metazoa; Chordata; Mammalia; Rodentia; Heteromyidae
Exons: 3
Source: RefSeq, a predicted model, not a curated record